UUUGAUAUUAUUAUCCCAAGUGUCCUAACAAGCCUGCUUUAUGUUUCCAGCCAUGUUCUGAGGUGUAUUAUACUGUGAUACACUAUGAGAGGACAUGGAUUCAGUGUUGUGUUGGUAAGUUAUUGCUCUCUGGGUUUUUUGAUGGUAUGAGAAUAUAUUAUGUCUGUAUAGAGGACUUGUCAUUCCCUAGGGUUUAUGUACAAGGUUGUAGUAACUGGCUAUGUCUGUUGACAAAGUGAAGUCGUUUUUUGAGUUGUGAUUGGGCAGUUGUUUUUUUAGGUACAAGCCCCAAUUAAGAUCUAAUAUUCUGGCAGGUUCCUACUUCACUUAUAAUUAGGUUAUAUAUAUAUGUACUGAAAAAAGUUUGAUAGGGUGUGUCAUAUAAUUGGCAAAAGAUGUUUCUGUAUAGUAGGGAUCUCUGGAUUUAUGGUGUAGGACUUGGCACAGGGUGAGCACUUUUAUGUGCAGGGUGGCAGAAAAAUAUAAUUUUAUGUUGGUAGACUGAGGUUGUUUAGGUUUGUUCUUAGUCUAGGCAUUCAGCUUUUGUGUUUCAGCUGUUGUGAAGUCCUUCAGUUCACUUGCACACUCAAAGUUUUUGAGUGCAGGUGGCAGAAACAUUAUAGUCAACUUUAUUCUUGGUAUAGUCAUUCAGAUUUUAUUUUUUUCUGAAAAGUUGUGGUUGAACUUUUUAUGACUGUUGCUGAUGAGCCAAUCUAUAUUUGUGGCACCUAAAAACUUCUUUGGACACUUGCAUGAUUUAUGGGCCAAAUGUACUACUGACCAACCAAAAAUAUUGUCUGUAACAGCACAGGACAGAUGGAACUAAAAUGAAAGACUCUUAUGGGUUUAAGUUGGGGUUAUAGUACCUAGAAGCACUGUGCAGAUCCAGAGAGCAGUCCCACAAUUGUCCAGGAGAAUUCUCUGGGAGAGAUCUAACUUCGUAUCUUUUUUUCCUGUUAUUUCAGACCAAUGUUCUGGCUUCUGCGGGGGACUACUGUCAUAUUUCUCCAUGUAGAAAAGCAAGAAUGGUGUCACUGAAUAGAUGAAGGAAUUAUCUAGACUGGAUGUGCUGACACCUCCAAAAUGUACAACACAGUCACUGAGAAAGAGACUCCAAGAGGAAUUAAAUUGUCACACAGUCCCGAUUCAUUUGUGAAAAAAGUGCUUUUCUUAAAUGUGAUUUUUUAAUUGAAUGUGGAAUAAAGUGAGUAUUGAUUAUA
Xenopus laevis (African clawed frog) is the source of this 1220-nucleotide long non-coding RNA. RefSeq lists it as uncharacterized. The record is from RefSeq and is a predicted model, not a curated record. NCBI's taxonomy places the organism in Eukaryota, Metazoa, Chordata, Amphibia, Anura, Pipidae. The transcript has 2 exons.